GACGAACGCUGGCGACGUGCUUAACACAUGCAAGUCGAGCGGUAAGGCCCUUUCGGGGGUACACGAGCGGCGAACGGGUGAGUAACACGUGGGUGACCUGCCCUCAGCUCUGGGAUAAGCCUGGGAAACCGGGUCUAAUACUGGAUAUGACUCCAUGACGCAUGUUGUGGGGUGGAAAGCCUUGUGCGGCUGAGGAUGGGCCCGCGGCCUAUCAGCUUGUUGGUGGGGUGANGGCCUACCAAGGCGACGACGGGUAGCCGGCCUGAGAGGGCGACCGGCCACACUGGGACUGAGACACGGCCCAGACUCCUACGGGAGGCAGCAGUGGGGAAUCUUGCGCAAUGGGCGAAGGCCUGACGCAGCGACGCCGCGUGAGGGAUGACGGCCU
This 388-nucleotide ribosomal RNA is filed under the name uncultured bacterium. Its description in RNAcentral is "bacterial SSU rRNA". It matches the Rfam family "Bacterial small subunit ribosomal RNA", at positions 28 to 417 of the family's 1533-position model. The record is from RNAcentral.